GCGGAAGUAGUUCAGUGGUAGAAUAUAACCUUGCCAAGGUUGGGGUCGCGGGUUCGAAUCCCGUCUUCCGCU
RNAcentral lists this transfer RNA (72 nucleotides) under Bacillus anthracis (anthrax bacterium). RNAcentral describes it as "tRNA-Gly (GCC) (tRNA-Gly-GCC-2-1)". It matches the Rfam family "tRNA". From Rfam's summary of the family: Transfer RNA (tRNA) molecules are approximately 80 nucleotides in length. Their secondary structure includes four short double-helical elements and three loops (D, anti-codon, and T loops). Further hydrogen bonds mediate the characteristic L-shaped molecular structure. tRNAs have two regions of fundamental functional importance: the anti-codon, which is responsible for specific mRNA codon recognition, and the 3' end, to which the tRNAs corresponding amino acid is attached (by aminoacyl-tRNA synthetases). tRNAs cope with the degeneracy of the genetic code in two manners: having more than one tRNA (with a specific anti-codon) for a particular amino acid; and 'wobble' base-pairing, i.e. permitting non-standard base-pairing at the 3rd anti-codon position. The record is from RNAcentral. Lineage: Bacteria; Bacillati; Bacillota; Bacilli; Caryophanales; Bacillaceae.